Molecule: long non-coding RNA, 135 nt
Filed under: Zalophus californianus (California sea lion)
Lineage: Eukaryota; Metazoa; Chordata; Mammalia; Carnivora; Otariidae
Description: lncRNA (ENSZCAG00015012645.1)
Source: RNAcentral
UAACUUCCAAGUUCCCGAGCCGCGCCUCUCCGGGGUUUCGGAAUUCCCAGCCUGAGAAAGAGCCGCAAACUGGAGGAAUGAAGGCUGUGAUUCUCAACCUGGGUGGCACUAGGAUUUAUUGAACUGUGCCUUAGU